ACGGCUCAGUAACACGUGGCUAAUCUGCCCUUAGGACGAGAACAACCCCGGGAAACUGGGGCUAACUCUUGAUAGGUGAAGAACUCUGGAAUGAGUCUUUGCCUAAAAAGAUUCACGUUAUCCUCGUGAACCUGCCUAAGGAUGAGGCCGCGACCGAUCAGGUUGUUGGCGAGGUAAUGGCUCACCAAGCCUUUUACCGGUGCGGGCCGUGGGAGCGGGAGCCCGGAGAUGGGUACUGAGACAAGGACCCAGGCCCUACGGGGCGCAGCAGUCGCGAAACCUUUGCAAUACACGAAAGUGUGACAGGGCUAUCCCGAGUGCCAUCCGCUGAGGAAGGCUUUUACCCAGUCUAGAACGCUGGGGGAAUAAGGAGAGGGCAAGUCUGGUGUCAGCCGCCGCGGUAAUACCAGCUCUCCGAGUGGUGUGGAUGUUUAUUGGGCCUAAAGCAUCCGUAGCUGGCUAGGCAAGUCCCUUGUUAAAUCCACCGAAUUAAUCGUUGGAUCGCGGGGGAUACUGCUUGGCUAGGGGACGAGAGAGGCAGACGGUAUUUUCGGGGUAGGGGUGAAAUCCUAUAAUCCCGGGAAGACCACCAGUGGCGAAGGCUGUCUGCUAGAACGCGCCCGACGGUGAGGGAUGAAAGCUGGGGGAGCGAACCGGAUUAGAUACCCGGGUAGUCCCAGCUGUAAACGAUGCAGACUAGGUGUUUGGACGGCCACGUGCCGUUCUAGUGCCGCAGGGAAGCUGUUAAGUCUGCCGCCUGGGGAGUACGAUCGCAAGAUUGAAACUUAAAGGAAUUGGCGGGGGANCAC
This 809-nucleotide ribosomal RNA is filed under the name uncultured crenarchaeote. RNAcentral's name for it is "bacterial SSU rRNA". It matches the Rfam family "Archaeal small subunit ribosomal RNA", at positions 85 to 879 of the family's 1478-position model. The record is from RNAcentral. Lineage: Archaea; Thermoproteati; Thermoproteota.